This 712-nucleotide ribosomal RNA is filed under the name uncultured Planctomycetota bacterium. Its description in RNAcentral is "bacterial SSU rRNA". It matches the Rfam family "Bacterial small subunit ribosomal RNA", at positions 123 to 843 of the family's 1533-position model. Lineage: Bacteria; Pseudomonadati; Planctomycetota. The record is from RNAcentral.
UACCUACCCCUGGGUCCGGGAUAGCUGCGGGAAACUGCAGGUAAUACCGGAUGACAUCUCCGGAUCAAAGGUGUGAUUCCGCCCGGGGAGGGGUCCACGUCCUAUUAGCUGGUUGGUGAGGUAACGGCUCACCAAGGCUGUGAUGGGUACGGGGUGUGAGAGCAUGCCCCCGCUCACUGGGACUGAGACACUGCCCAGACACCUACGGGUGGCUGCAGUCGAGAAUCUUCGGCAAUGGGCGCAAGCCUGACCAAGCGACGCCGCGUGCGAGAUGAAGGCCUUCGGGUUGUAAAUCGCUGUCGGAGGGGAGGAAAUGCCGGUGGGUCCUCCCAUCGGUUUGACCUAGCCUCAGAGGAAGGACGGGCUAAGUUCGUGCCAGCAGCCGCGGUAAGACGGACCGUCCAAACGUUAUUCGGAAUCACUGGGCUUAAAGGGUGCGUAGGCGGUCCGGCAAGUUGGGUGUGAAAGCCCUCGGCUCAACCGAGGAACUGCGCCCAAAACUGCCGGGCUAGAGGGAGACAUAGGUGAGCGGAACUUAGGGUGGAGCGGUGAAAUGCGUUGAGAUCCUAAGGAACACCAGUAGCGAAAGCGGCUCACUGGGUCUUUUCUGACACUGAAGCACGAAAGCUAGGGGAGCGAAGAGGAUUAGAUACCCUCGUAGUCCUAGCCGUAAACAAUGAGCACUGGUUUGGAGGGUCCUCCAUAGCCUUCC